GUGAUCUUUACUCCUGGUGUCACACCCCUGAGGGCCUCCCUCCUACACUGAAUUAGGGCUGCCACUGUCCCUCAUACUUGCCUGUGACCCUGCCUUUGGAGGACACGUUUCUGCAGCUCAGCCUUGGCACCCCUUUGCACAAGCUGGUGGCAUUGGCCCCUCUGCUAUUAAGCCACAGUUGUUCAUCUGUUCAACAAAGUCUACCCGCUGUGCCGUCUGUGGCUCUCCAAGGGCUGGGGUGUUGAAGAAAACCUGCUGGCUGUGAAACAGAAGGGGAGUUGUUUUAUUUCAUGCCGGUACUUUUCAGGGGUCACAGACUGCCCCAGAAAGAAAAAACCAAAUUUGACCCUCGGCAUUCCCUGUGAGGAGAGUUGGGUGUUUGCCCAGGAAGUUCAGAGCAGCAGCCAAGAUUCACUCACACCUGGGAUAUACAACCUC
RNAcentral lists this long non-coding RNA (438 nucleotides) under Equus caballus (horse). Its description in RNAcentral is "lncRNA (ENSECAG00000057386.1)". The record is from RNAcentral. Lineage: Eukaryota; Metazoa; Chordata; Mammalia; Perissodactyla; Equidae.